This 379-nucleotide ribosomal RNA is filed under the name uncultured bacterium. Its description in RNAcentral is "bacterial SSU rRNA". It matches the Rfam family "Bacterial small subunit ribosomal RNA", at positions 790 to 1167 of the family's 1533-position model. The record is from RNAcentral.
GUAGUCCACGCCCUAAACGAUGUCAACUAGUUGUUGGGAAAUUAACUUUUCUUGGUAACGCAGCUAACGCGUGAAGUUGACCGCCUGGGGAGUACGGUCGCAAGAUUAAAACUCAAAGGAAUUGACGGGGACCCGCACAAGCGGUGGAUGAUGUGGUUCAAUUCGACGCAACGCGAAAAACCUUACCUACCCUUGACAUGUCGCGAAUCUUGCUGAGAGGCGAGAGUGCCCGCAAGGGAGCGCGAACACAGGUGCUGCAUGGCUGUCGUCAGCUCGUGUCGUGAGAUGUAGUGGUUAAGUCCCGCAACGAGCGCAACCCUUGCCAUUAGUUGCUACAUUCAGUUGAGCACUCUAAUGGGACUGCCGGUGACGAAUCGGA